GAUGAACGCUGGCGGCGUGCUUAACACAUGCAAGUCGAACGGAAAGGCUCCGGAGCGCGGGGGUACGCGAGUGGCGAACGGGUGAGUAAGACGUGGGUGAGCUGCUCUGCACUUGGGGAUAAGCCUGGGAAACUGGGGCAAAUACUGCAUAGGACGGUGGCAUGGAUGACAUGGUGGAAAGUUUUUCGGCUUGGGCUGGGCUGUGGGCAGAUGAGCUUGGUGGUGGGGUAUGGGCCCCCCACGUCGUAGACGGGAAGCCGACCUGAGAGGGGGGACGGCCUCCUUGGUCCUGCGGUACGCCCCAGUCUCCUACGUUAGGCAGUGGUGGGGAGUCUUGCGCAGUGGGGCCGAGCCUGAUGCGGCGGCGCCGCGUGGGUGAUGACGUCCUUCGGGUUGUGAACUCCUUUCGCUAGGGACCAAGCCCCAGUGACGUUACCUGCAGAAGAAGCACCGGCUAACUCCGUG
Molecule: ribosomal RNA, 465 nt
Filed under: uncultured bacterium
Lineage: Bacteria
Description: partial 16S ribosomal RNA
Rfam family: Bacterial small subunit ribosomal RNA
Source: RNAcentral